This 1197-nucleotide long non-coding RNA is filed under the name Phasianus colchicus (ring-necked pheasant). RNAcentral's name for it is "lncRNA (ENSPCLG00000017605.1)". Lineage: Eukaryota; Metazoa; Chordata; Aves; Galliformes; Phasianidae. The record is from RNAcentral.
CAAAAUUUUCCAAUUUUGGGUCAAAAAUGGCUCUUUUGGGGGCAGAAAUUGGGGCAAAAAUGGCUCUUUUUGGAUGAAAAAUUGGCUCUUUUUUGCCCAAAUUGGGUCAAAUUUUACCUUUUUUGGGUCAAAUUUUCCCCUUUUUGGGUCAAAAUUGGCUCUUUUUCGUCCCAAUUGGAUCAAAACUUCCCUUUUUUGGGUCAAAAUUUCUCUUUUUGGGUCAAAAAUGGCCCUUGUGGGGGGCAGAAAUGGCUCUUUUGGGAUCAAAAAUGGCUCUUUUUUCCCAAAUUGGGUCAAAUUUCCUCAUUUUGGGGUCAAAUUUUCCCCUUUUUGGGUCAAAAUUGGCUCUUUUUAGUCCUAUUUGGGUCAAAAACUUCCCUUUUUUGGGUCAAUUUUUCCCCUUUUUGGGUCAAAAAUGGCUCUUUUGGGGUCAGAAAUUGGGGCAGAAAUGGCUCUUUUUUGCCCAAAUUGGGUCAGAAUUUCCCCUUUUUUGGGUCAAAUUUUCCCUUUUUUGGGUCAAAAUUGGCUCUUUUUGGUCCCAAUUGGGUCAAAACUUCCCUUUUUUGGGUCAAAAUUUUCCAAUUUGGGGUCAAAAAUGGCUCUUUUGGGGGCAGAAAUUGGGGCAAAAAUGCCUCUUUUUGGCAGAAAUUGGGUCAAAUUUUACCUUUUUUGGUCAAAUUUUCCCCUUUUUGGGUCAAAAUUGGCUCUUUUUCGUCCCAAUUGGGUCAAAACUUCCCUUUUUUGGGUCAAAAUUUUCCAAUUUUGGGUCAAAAAUGGCUCUUUUGGGGUUAAGAAUUGGCUCUUUUUUGCCCAAAUUGGGUCAGAAUUUCCCCUUUUUUGGGUCAAAUUUUCCAUUUUUUGGGUCAAAAUUGGCUCUUUUUAGUCCCAAUCUGGUCAGAAUUUCCUCUUAUUGGGUCAAACUUUCCCCAUUUUGGGUCAAAAAAUGCUCAUUUUGGGUCAAAAAUGCCUCUUUUUGUUCCCCACCCGACCUCAGCAUCUCCCCCAAAUCGGGGCGAUUCCCCUUUAAGAACCGCCCAAAUUGGGGCCAAAAAUUGGGAUUUCGGUUCCGAGGGCCCCAAAAAUGACAAUUUUCGGGGUCGACUUUGCCCAAAAUUGUUUUUUUUUCCCCCAGAAUGAAGACGAGGAGGAGGAAGAGGAGGAGAAGGACGAGGCUGAAGAUUUAUUGGGGCGCAGCUC